UCAUCCCUAGAUUGUGCGUAUAGUGAUUAGUUGUUGAAUCCGAACAUCUCUGAUAAGGGAAUCUGGCGUUCUAAUAUGGUGUUGAAUGCUUAACCACUUCUUUGGUUAAGACUCCUAAUAUAUUAGACAGGAUACCCACCUGCUACCUUAGCGGGUUUUUAUCCUAACACUUACGGCAAUUUGGGCCCAUU
This 191-nucleotide non-coding RNA is filed under the name Turicibacter sp. RNAcentral describes it as "6S RNA". It matches the Rfam family "6S / SsrS RNA". Rfam says of the family: E. coli 6S RNA was the first non coding RNA to be sequenced, but its function was unknown until recently. It consists of 184 nucleotides that fold into an extended hairpin structure with a large single-stranded internal bulge. Lineage: Bacteria; Bacillati; Bacillota; Erysipelotrichia; Erysipelotrichales; Turicibacteraceae. The record is from RNAcentral. RNAcentral also lists the same sequence under 3 other names.